Cydia fagiglandana is the source of this 4310-nucleotide long non-coding RNA. RefSeq lists it as uncharacterized. The transcript has 3 exons. The record is from RefSeq and is a predicted model, not a curated record. NCBI's taxonomy places the organism in Eukaryota, Metazoa, Arthropoda, Insecta, Lepidoptera, Tortricidae.
UUCAAGUUUUUACGCUCUUAUAUUAUAUUUUUAUAUAAUUAAUUUGUUGAAAAUGGUUUAACUCCUGUAUUAAUAGCAACUGUAGGCAAAAUACAUUUAAAGUUAAGUCCUGUGCAUACCGGAUGCGUGUGCGUAAACAUGCACGUGCGCGUUGUAAUAUACAGAACCUUAUGAUAGACGGCACACCGCUUGCGUGACGUGUGCGCACGAUUUCAACAUUUUAUCGCACGCGCACGUGCACGUCUAAGCACGCGCAGCCGGUGUGAUCUGGCCUUUAAGGUGAACCCUGUCGUGAUAGCAUAUACCGCCUGAAGAAGGGCUCCCAAUAAGUCAAAAUCAAUCCAAGCUGUCGCAAUGCUUCUUCAGGUAUUUAAAUAAAAGUAAAUUUGUAAAUUUUCGGGUAGUUAUAACAUUUAUUGGUUAACCAACCAAACCGCCUGGAUGCGCGCCGCACUGAACGACCUGACUUUAACCUACAUUGUUUGAUCAUGUAAUGUUUUCAACUGGCUCAAGGAGCCAUUUGAGGGUAGAUUUUGUUUACCUACUUUUAUUUAAAUACCUAAAGGUACAGACUAUAGGGAACGCAACGUGACUAAAGCUAAAGAGUAAAGACACAAUAUUCAGAGACUGGGUAGAUGGAGUUAAUUGAUAAGUCGUAAGCCUUAUUACAAACACAUAAGGUUCACCGGUGGUCAGUUAAUCCUUUGAUCGCCAAUGACGUCAACUACAGCCCAAUUUCAACCUUCGUGCAUUCAGACAAGGUUUAAUGUCUGAUUUAAAUUAUGAUAUUUAUUACUAAUUAAAGGAUAGCUUGAAUCAACUUAUCAUUCGAUAGGUAUCUGGAUGCCACAGAGCCACAACCGGCUUCAGAUGUGUUACAAACUGCACUAAUUGUUUUUUAGGUAUUUAAAGGUAGGUAGGUUUAGAUAUAUGACAGUCAGGUGGUUUUUAUUAAAAAAUAAAAAAUUAACCGACUAUAGUUCCAACAAAAGAUAUGUCAUACACCUAAAGCAUUCAAUGUUUGUUAUGGAAAAAGUUACAAAUAUGGUAUACGUACAUAUUAUCAAUAUUGGUGAGUAUAUGCCUUUUUGGUAGAUUAGAUAUGAUAAGUUAUUGUGACAUGACAUGAUAUAUAGACGAGUUUUAAAACUAGCAUAAUUGUAGUUUUUAAUACGGUAUUCAAUUUAAAAAGCCCAAUUUGAAUGAAAUGCAGAGAUUCCUUGUCAAUAAACUUUACACCUUAACCUUACACGACUUACAAAUUGGCACUUUUUGAGCAAACAUCACUCAUCCUUAGUAUCUAACAUGCGUACCUAAAUAACUUGCUUAAAUCACAGACCUACCACACUACGCACCUUUUACAGAAAAAAAAAACAUUUUUACCAAAGGUAGCAUUAUUUCAUUUGUUACUUUAUGCCAUGGAAAUAAAGUAUAAAAUUGUAUACACUGCUCAGAGUAAACAACUUUACGUAAAAUGAGAAUACGUUAUAAAAGAUGAAUACAACAUUAUAUGAUUCCCAUCUGUACAUAAGUGUGGUAAGAUAGUAGUACAGUCGCCAUCAGAUAUAUGGGAGCGGCCGUGGUGUUCAAAAAUAUAUCAACACGCACUCUAACGCCUUGACAAUAGAGGCGUGUUCAGAUAUUUGUGAGCACCUUGGCCGCUCCGAUAUAUCUGAUGGCGACUAUACAACUGUACUCUUAAUUUUUACUCCGUUAAAUUCAUCUAAUUUUUUCGUUAGCUUAUUAAAAACAGUUCAUAACAGAGUAAAGCUUGAAUUAUUUAGAAUAUAUUCACAAUAGAUACACGUAUAGGGCUUACAAGAUAUGUGUUAUAAAUUACAUUUACAUGAUAUCGAUUUUCAUAAGACAAAGUUAACUUUAGGAUAAAAUAAAAAUAAAUCUUGAUUUUUUAAUUAUAUAAAUUUUUAAAUAUGAUAUAUUAUAAAAUAUUAAACUGUAAAAUGAUUAAAAACAAAGUAAAAACACAUGUGGAAUGUAACAAGUGCAUCCACGGUGAGAAUAUUACAGCUUACUUUUAAAUCUUAUAAUACUAUAGGAUAUCACUAGGGUUAUUGCUUUUCAAGAAGCGUCACACGUUACGUGAAGCAGCAAUAAUAUUAUUACACGAUUACUUUUAGUUUGCGACUUACAGAUAGUUUGAAUGCUACCUAAGGUCAAUGUGGCAAAAACCGUCUAUAGAGGAAGACCGUCUACAGGCUCUUUGCGACGCUUUUAACUCUUGUACAUAAUUAUACUCCACAGAAGGUCGAUAGAGCAUGAGUAAGCUUAGGUAUACAAAUAUGAGAGUUCAGGCUCCAAUUUCACCACGGCUACAAUUGUCAGUGACAUAUUUCGAGAUCCAAUUGUCAAGCGACAGGUGACAUAUUACAAUUUUAUAAAAUAUUUUCUAUACAAAUACAAACAUGACAGGCAGUUUGCUACAAUUGUAUGUAUUACAAUUAUGUUGUGAAAUAAGAUUUUUUUUUUCUAGUCGACAUAUUUGUAGAAUUGUCGGUGAAUCUUGACAGGAAAUGAGGUAUAUAUCGGAAUUUCGUUACAAUUGUAGUGUUUCUUGUGACAAUUGUCAUAAACUUAGCAAGAGAAAUAUCUGUUUUUUUCCGAUAUAAUAAAGUUUUUUUUAAUAAUUCAAUGAUGGUGGCAAACAGGAAUACGGCCCGCCCGAUGGUAAGCGGUAACCGUAGCCCAUUGAUGCCUGUGACGUCAGCAACAGUGAUGUUUUACAAUUGUCGCACCUGUCACCCUGGUGAAAUUGGGGCCUGGCCGUAUGACGGUCUUUCUAACAAUAAAUUUGAUAUGACGGUUUUUUAUUUUAAUUAAAUGUUUUGUUAAAGCAAAAUUUGUAUUUCCUAAAAUAUGCAUGCACCUCUUUACUUAAUAUUUCGCUGACGAAAGUGUUGCAGCCAUUAUUUACGCAUUUAACAUGCAAAAUGUGUGUUGUUAAUAUGUUAAUAAAAAUCACACAUACCAAAUUUUGGUUCUAGAAUAGACUUUAUGAUUAUCAUAUUAAGGUAGAAAAUGAAAUUAAAAACUUGUGUCUAUCCCAAACCAUAAGUAAUCGUCGUAUAAAAUAAAUAUACGUUUCAUACAAUUACAAUAGUUCAUUCAUAUUAUAAUAUUUAUAUGUUAAUAACAUUUUGCAUAUUGAAACACGUGACGUAAUAGUGACGUUUAUUAACGGAAAUUUUCGUAUUACUGUUGCUUGAAUAACGUUAAUAGUAUUUAUAUUGAUAUUGAGCAACAGUACUAUUUGAACUACUGGCCUUGUACGAAACUUUACUUGGCCACUUUUAAAUACACUACGUACGUACCAUAGUCGUAUGUUUUAUAUUAUUUUGAUUUAACAUGGUGACAUGAUAAAAUAUCAUUUAAUACAACCACCAUUUUUUUUUAGAUUUAGCUACCUAUAUAAAAUUUUGUUUUUCGUACCUUUCCAACUUGUUUUAGACGAUACAAAUGCUUUCUGUAGAACCUAAAUAAUAGGUUAUAUUUAUUCAUUUGUAUAUAAGUAGGUAUAUAGAACAAAAACUUGAUUAGGCGGUACCAAUAGAAUGAAUUAAACGAGUUAAAGUUUUCUUAAGCUACAAUGAAAAUGGUAGUGUAAAUAUCAAUGCAUAAUCUUUAUAAUUAAAGCGAUGGGCAGUUUUUAUCUACUUAAAAGUAAUGAUAUCAAAUAAACACAUUCCUUAGUAAAUAUAAAAUGAUUUUCUUUUUUAAAAAACACGGUAAAACAUAUUACUUAUGUUAAACAUUUGAAAUGCCGAUAAAUGAUAUUUCAUAAAAUGUGAAAUAUUUUGAUUUUAUAUUUCGAUGGUAAAUACAUUCUCUGAUUUCGGUGUAAUAACGAAUUUACGUAAAUAAUAAAGUUCCGCCCCAACCCUUAUCCUAACACUUACGUUAUAUUAUUUCUUUAACGCGGUAGAUUUAAUAAAUUUAUGAAUUCAUUUAAAAACAGGAGAUCACUCACGUUAUACAGUUCUUCACUGACAUCGUGACACGGGAAACGGGUGAGAUAUCUAACUAUCCGCGUUACGUAUUAUUUCGCAUAACCGUGCUCGACAUUUCCGAUAUCUCGCAAUAAUGCGUCGGACAUAUACACGGCUACGCGGCGGUCCCCCGGCAAACUCAUUCACCCAUAACGGAGUCGAACAGUCUCACCCACUCAUCGCGUCACGGCGACUCGACAUCCUCGAUGACGGUUUCGCGCGGCGGCGGCACCGGCGGCGUCGGCGCGAGGGGCGCCGCGCUCGCGGCCGCGGCGCGCGAGGGGGCUGCGGGGGCCCCGUCCCUCA